CCUACGGGAGGCAGCAGUGGGGAAUAUUGGACAAUGGGCGCAAGCCUGGUCCAGCAAUGCCGCGUGAGUGAUGAAGGCCUUAGGGUCGUAAAGCUCUUUUACCAGGGAUGAUAAUGACAGUACCUGGAGAAUAAGCUCCGGCUAACUCCGUGCCAGCAGCCGCGGUAAUACGGAGGGAGCUAGCGUUGUUCGGAAUUACUGGGCGUAAAGCGUACGUAGGCGGUUAUUCAAGUCAGAGGUGAAAGCCCGGGGCUCAACCCCGGAACGGCCUUUGAAACUAGGUAGCUAGAAUCUUGGAGAGGUCAGUGGAAUUCCGAGUGUAGAGGUGAAAUUCGUAGAUAUUCGGAAGAACACCAGUGGCGAAGGCGACUGACUGGACAAGUAUUGACGCUGAGGUACGAAAGCGUGGGGAGCAAACAGGAUUAGAUACCCUGGUAGUCCACGCCGUAAACGAUGAUAACUAGCUGUCCGGGCACUUGGUGCCUGGGUGGCGCAGCUACGACAUAAGUUAUCCGUCCGUCGGGUAGGUACGGUCGCGAGAAGUUAAAACGUUAAAAGGUAAAGUUAGUACGGCGUGUAAGACGUGCGAACGGACGACGACGAGGGAGGAGG
RNAcentral lists this ribosomal RNA (612 nucleotides) under uncultured bacterium. RNAcentral's name for it is "bacterial SSU rRNA". The stretch from base 1 to 517 matches the Rfam family "Bacterial small subunit ribosomal RNA", at positions 338 to 873 of the family's 1533-position model. The record is from RNAcentral.